GAAUUUUGGACAAUGGGCGCAAGCCUGAUCCAGCCAUGCCGCGUGAGUGAAGAAGGCCUUCGGGUUGUAAAGCUCUUUCGGCGGGGACGAAACGGUCCGUGCUAACACCACGGACUACUGACCGUACUCGCAGAAGAAGCACCCGCUAACCACGUGCCAGCCGCCGCGGUAAUACGGAGGGUGCAGGCGUUAAUCGGAAUUACUGGGCGUAAAGCGUGCGCAGGCGGCUCCUUAAGUCAGAUGUGAAAGCCCUGGGCUUAACCUGGGAACUGCGUUUGAAACUGGGGAGCUAGAGUGUGGAAGAGGGGGGUGGAAUUCCAGGUGUAGCAGUGAAAUGCGUAGAGAUCUGGAGGAACACCGAUGGCGAAGGCAGCCCCCUGGGCUAACACUGACGCUCAUGCACGAAAGCGUGGGGAGCAAACAGG
Molecule: ribosomal RNA, 425 nt
Filed under: uncultured bacterium
Lineage: Bacteria
Description: bacterial SSU rRNA
Rfam family: Bacterial small subunit ribosomal RNA
Source: RNAcentral